CAAGGCUCAGAGCACUCUUCAUGUAAAGAAGGGCAAAGAGAGGCAACUAGCAUGAAGUUUGAAACCACUGGCUAGCCAGACCCAGUAACAAUAAAAGGGUCUGGACCUCUGUUCUUGCCUGGCUAAUAGAUAAAAGUAACUUUAAUGCUUAGGGCCUAGAUAUCCUAAAGGCACCAGAUCCUGUCUGAUCCUGGAAGCUAAGAAGCCUCAGCCCUGCAUUAAGAAGAAUCUAAAGAGAGGCCUGAGAGCUGAUGAGACAUUGGAUCACUUCCAGCAAGAAAACCACUAAAAGGCUCAGUUACUAGAAGCUCCAUUGAAAGAUGAUAUCCAG
Long non-coding RNA from Sceloporus undulatus (fence lizard), 331 nucleotides. RefSeq lists it as uncharacterized. NCBI's taxonomy places the organism in Eukaryota, Metazoa, Chordata, Lepidosauria, Squamata, Phrynosomatidae. The transcript has 3 exons. The record is from RefSeq and is a predicted model, not a curated record.